CAGUCGCCGCGGGAAUACGUAGGGUGCGAGCGUUAAUCGGAAUUACUGGGCGUAAAGCGUGCGCAGGCGGUUGUGUAAGACAGGUGUGAAAUCCCCGGGCUUAACCUGGGAACUGCGCUUGUGACUGCAUAGCUAGAGUAUGGCAGAGGGGGGUGGAAUUCCACGUGUAGCAGUGAAAUGCGUAGAGAUGUGGAGGAACACCGAUGGCGAAGGCAGCCCCCUGGGCCAAUACUGACGCUCAUGCACGAAAGCGUGGGGAGCAAACAGGAUUAGAUACCCGCGUAGUCCCUGUCUCUUAUAC
RNAcentral lists this ribosomal RNA (301 nucleotides) under uncultured bacterium. RNAcentral describes it as "partial 16S ribosomal RNA". It matches the Rfam family "Bacterial small subunit ribosomal RNA", at positions 509 to 807 of the family's 1533-position model. The record is from RNAcentral.